UAUGGGUAUCUACUUAGGAAUAGCCCUCUUUGGUGUUGAUCCUUCUUCUCUAAGAACAAUCAACCUGCGAAUUUGAACAAAGUCUGGAUCACGAUCAACUCUUUGAUCUUUUUCUUGAUCUUUUCUUCUCUUCUUCUCUUAUUUUUCUUCUCUUGAUUAUGAAGCAAUCAAAAAUUGAAAAAUCAGCAAGCAAAGGGAUACCCAAGCUCCUCUUGGGCAUGAAG
RNAcentral lists this long non-coding RNA (224 nucleotides) under Elaeis guineensis (African oil palm). RNAcentral's name for it is "long non-coding RNA (EGUI_LNC079898)". The record is from RNAcentral. Lineage: Eukaryota; Viridiplantae; Streptophyta; Magnoliopsida; Arecales; Arecaceae.